Molecule: ribosomal RNA, 238 nt
Filed under: uncultured bacterium
Lineage: Bacteria
Description: partial 16S ribosomal RNA
Rfam family: Bacterial small subunit ribosomal RNA
Source: RNAcentral
UACGUAGGGGGCAAGCGUUGUCCGGAAUCAUUGGGCGUAAAGCGCGUGUAGGCGGCUCGGUAAGUCCGCUCUGAAAGUCCAGGGCUCAACCCUGGGAUGCGGGUGGAUACUGCCGGGCUCGAGUCCGGAAGAGGCGAGUGGAAUUCCCGGUGUAGCGGUGAAAUGCGCAGAUAUCGGGAGGAACACCAAUGGCGAAGGCAGCUCGCUGGGACGUGACUGACGCUGAGACGCGGAAAGC